Molecule: non-coding RNA, 124 nt
Organism: Podarcis lilfordi (Lilford's wall lizard)
Lineage: Eukaryota; Metazoa; Chordata; Lepidosauria; Squamata; Lacertidae
Source: the annotation of a GenBank genome assembly
AGCUAAGUUUGUUAUUGGUAUGAGUUUUCGUGUGCAUGCACACUUCUUCAGAUACCUGAAGUACCAAGUAUCUGAAGAAGUGUGCAAGCACGUGAAAGCUCAUACCAAUAACAAACUUUGCUGG